RNAcentral lists this ribosomal RNA (105 nucleotides) under Gopherus agassizii (Agassiz's desert tortoise). Lineage: Eukaryota; Metazoa; Chordata; Testudines; Testudinidae. The record is from RNAcentral.
GUAAGUGACGAGACUGAAUGUAUUUACUCUUAGCAGAUCUUAGAAGCUAAACAGUCACAAGCCUAAUUCAUACUUUGGAUGGGGGACCACUGGGUGUUGCAUGUG